Molecule: non-coding RNA, 20 nt
Filed under: Rattus norvegicus (Norway rat)
Lineage: Eukaryota; Metazoa; Chordata; Mammalia; Rodentia; Muridae
Source: RNAcentral
AGUGAAGUGAGGCCUCCUAU